UUGGAGCAUGGAGAGCCUGAGCUGAAUC
This 28-nucleotide non-coding RNA is filed under the name Homo sapiens (human). The record is from RNAcentral. Lineage: Eukaryota; Metazoa; Chordata; Mammalia; Primates; Hominidae.